UCCAAUGUGGUCUAGUGGCUAGGAUUUGCCGCUCUCAUAUAGCGCCGGCAAGGCCGGGGUUCGAUUCCCCGCAUUGGAA
This 79-nucleotide transfer RNA is filed under the name Bimuria novae-zelandiae CBS 107.79. RNAcentral describes it as "tRNA-Glu". It matches the Rfam family "tRNA". Rfam says of the family: Transfer RNA (tRNA) molecules are approximately 80 nucleotides in length. Their secondary structure includes four short double-helical elements and three loops (D, anti-codon, and T loops). Lineage: Eukaryota; Fungi; Ascomycota; Dothideomycetes; Pleosporales; Didymosphaeriaceae. The record is from RNAcentral.